UUUGGGAGCCAUUUUUAAUUAAAAACUGUACAAGAUUUAAAUGAACCAAACAACAUAUACCUGCCAGGAUAACCUGGUGAUUCAUUGCUGCGUUGUUUUAGUUUUCAAGAAUGCAAUCAUUCUAUUUACAACCUUGUUUUUCUUAUGGUUUUUUAUUUUGGUUUAGGCGUUAAAAAUAUUUAAUGGAUAUGAGAGGUAUUUAGUAGAACAGGUGCCAGCAUCUGUACAAAUUAAAUCAAAUUAUAUCUCUGUAAUCAAAGGGGAAACAGUGCAUGCUUAAAGGUCACCUUGGAAAAUGUCAAAUAUGUUUGUUUGGAGGUAAAUCUUAUGGGAUUUACUAUCUAAGUAGAGGAAAACAGCUGUAAUCCAUUUUGGCUUGUAUUGGUUAUACAUGAGAUUUACAGGUAGUCUUUGAAUUACAGCCAUUCAUUUAGCAAUUGUUCGGAAUUACAGCACUGAAAAAGUGACUUACAAAUGAUCCUCACACUUGCGACUGUUGUAGCAUCUCUGCAGUCGUGCGAUCAAAAUUCACCUGCUUAACCACUGGCAUAUAUUUAUAAUGGUUGCAGCAUUCCCAGGGUCAUGUGAUUGACAUUUGUGACCUCUCCAGUUGACAAGCCAAUCAAUGGGGAAAGCUGAUUUGCUUAAUGGUCACGUGAUUCAACUUAAGAACUUCAAUUAUUAAUAACCAUGAGCAAAAAUAAUCAAAAAAUUGGGCACAGCUCAUUUAGCAACCACCUUACUUAAUAAUAGAAAUUCUGCUUCCAGUUAUGGUUGCAAUUAAUGGCUUACCUGUAGACCAAUAAUCUAUGGAUUUAGUUCUAGUUUUUAGAACUGAGAGGGAAAGUGGCCUUCUCAAUUUAUUUAUAUAGAUUUUGCAAAUAAACAAAACUAUGGCCAUUUUUUUUAUAUAAAGGAUUAUUUAUUUAUAUAAUAGAUAACAGUUUAAAUUAUAAAGCAUCUAUGAAAGAGACCUAAAACAAGAUGGAUGACAUCAAGUAUUACGGGCCCAAUUGGCAAAACAAAGCUCAGGACCGUAUUAGGUGGAAACAGGUGGAAGAGGCCUUCGUCCUGCAAUUGAUAGACAAUGGCUAAAGUGAUAAUGAAGAUGGUGAAUGAUGAUGAUGAUGAUGAUAAUUUGAGUUUGAGUUCUAGGGAUGCUUCCCAUUUAAAGCAAUCAAAUGUUUCCAAACAUUUAAGUAAAAAUUGUUUAAAUAGGUAUAGUUUGCAAAGCAUCUUCUAUAUUGUAUUUAUGCACUCUAUUUACAUAUUAUUUUAUUUCUUGCUUGUAUAUAUAUUCAUGAACCUAAAGCCACCUCUAUCAGGAAUCAGAGUAAAUCUACUUUAAACAGAAGAUGGGUGGGAUGAAACGAAGUAAAUUGUUAUUUAUUUCAUUUAUGGUU
Non-coding RNA from Pseudonaja textilis, 1403 nucleotides. The record is from RefSeq and is a predicted model, not a curated record. NCBI's taxonomy places the organism in Eukaryota, Metazoa, Chordata, Lepidosauria, Squamata, Elapidae.